This 495-nucleotide ribosomal RNA is filed under the name uncultured bacterium. RNAcentral describes it as "partial 16S ribosomal RNA". It matches the Rfam family "Bacterial small subunit ribosomal RNA", at positions 28 to 507 of the family's 1533-position model. The record is from RNAcentral.
GACGAACGCUGGCGGCGUGCCUAAUACAUGCAAGUAGAACGCUGAAGGAGGAGCUUGCUUCUCUGGAUGAGUUGCGAACGGGUGAGUAACGCGUAGGUAACCUGCCUGGUAGCGGGGGAUAACUAUUGGAAACGAUAGCUAAUACCGCAUAAGAGUAGAUGUUGCAUGACAUUUGCUUAAAAGGUGCAAUUGCAUCACUACCAGAUGGACCUGCGUUGUAUUAGCUAGUUGGUGAGGUAACGGCUCACCAAGGCGACGAUACAUAGCCGACCUGAGAGGGGGAUCGGCCACACUGGGACUGAGACACGGCCCAGACUCCUACGGGAGGCAGCAGAAGGGAAUCUGCGGCAAUGGACGGAAGUCUGACCGAGCAACGCCGCGUGAGUGAAGAAGGUUUUCGGAUCGUGAAGCUCUGUUGUAAGAGAAGAACGAGUGUGAGGGUGGAAAGUUCACACUGUGACGGUAUCUUACCAGAAAGGGGCGGCUAACUACGUG